AGAGUUUGAUCCUGGCUCAGGACGAACGCUGGCGGCGUGCUUAAUACAUGCAAGUCGAGCGAGGUUACUGCGACAGAUCCCUUCGGGGUGAAGUUGCUUUAGCCUAGCGGCGGACGGGUGAGUAACGCGUGGGUAACCUACCCUAAAGUUCGGGAUAACAGCGGGAAACCGCUGCUAAUACCGGAUGCCUUUACCGUGUGGCAUCACAAGGUAAAGAAAGGUAACGCUUUAGGAUGGGCCCGCGUCCCAUUAGCUAGUUGGUGAGGUAACAGCUCACCAAGGCGACGAUGGAUAGCCGGCCUGAGAGGGUGACCGGCCACACUGGGACUGAGACACGGCCCAGACUCCUACGGGAGGCAGCAGUAGGGAAUUUUCGGCAAUGGGGGAAACCCUGACCGAGCAACGCCGCGUGAGGGAUGAAGGCCUUCGGGUCGUAAACCUCUGUCUUUGGGGACGAUAAUGACGGUACCCGAGGAGGAAGCCCCGGCUAACUACGUGCCAGCAGCCGCGGUAAUACGUAGGGGGCGAGCGUUGUCCGGAAUUACUGGGCGUAAAGGGCGUGUAGGCGGCCUGUUAAGUCAGGCGUGAAAACCCCGGGCUUAACCUGGGGACUGCGUUUGAAACUGGCGGGCUUGAGGGCAGGAGAGGAAAGUGGAAUUCCCGGUGUAGCGGUGAUAUGCGUAGAUACCGGGAGGAACACCAGUGGCGAAGGCGGCUUUCUGGACUGCACCUGACGCUGAGGCGCGAAAGCCAGGGGAGCGAACGGGAUUAGAUACCCCGGUAGUCCUGGCCGUAAACGAUGGGUACUAGGUGUGGGAGGUAUCGACUCCUUCCGUGCCGGAGUUAACACAAUAAGUACCCCGCCUGGGGAGUACGGCCGCAAGGCUGAAACUCAAAGGAAUUGACGG
Molecule: ribosomal RNA, 908 nt
Filed under: uncultured bacterium
Lineage: Bacteria
Description: bacterial SSU rRNA
Rfam family: Bacterial small subunit ribosomal RNA
Source: RNAcentral